Molecule: ribosomal RNA, 258 nt
Filed under: uncultured prokaryote
Description: partial 16S ribosomal RNA
Rfam family: Bacterial small subunit ribosomal RNA
Source: RNAcentral
UACGUAGGGGACGAGCGUUGUCCGGAAUUACUGGGCGUAAAGGGCGCGCAGGCGGUAUAUCAAGUCAGCUGUCAAAGACUGGGGCUCAACCCUGGUAUGCGGUUGAAACUGAUAUGCUGGAGUGCUGUAGAGGCAAGUGGAAUUCCCAGUGUAGCGGUGAAAUGCGUAGAUAUUGGGAGGAACACCGGUGGCGAAGGCGACUUGCUGGGCAGCAACUGACGCUGAGGCGCGAAAGCCAGGGGAGCAAACGGGAUUAGA